UGAUUAUGGGGUAUUCCGCUU
This 21-nucleotide non-coding RNA is filed under the name Arabidopsis thaliana (thale cress). Lineage: Eukaryota; Viridiplantae; Streptophyta; Magnoliopsida; Brassicales; Brassicaceae. The record is from RNAcentral.